Molecule: transfer RNA, 71 nt
Filed under: Paracontias fasika
Lineage: Eukaryota; Metazoa; Chordata; Lepidosauria; Squamata; Scincidae
Description: tRNA-Ile
Source: RNAcentral
CCGGAACUGUGCCCGAGAUAAAAGGGCUACUUUGAUAGAGUACGACACAGGAGUUAAACCUCCUCAUUUCC